Molecule: ribosomal RNA, 933 nt
Filed under: uncultured bacterium
Lineage: Bacteria
Description: bacterial SSU rRNA
Rfam family: Bacterial small subunit ribosomal RNA
Source: RNAcentral
ACACAUGCAGUCGAACGAGAUCCAUUUGGUGCUUGCACCAGAGAAGAUCUAGUGGCGAACGGGUGAGUAGCACGUGAGCAACCUACCCCGAAGACCGGGAUAACACCGGGAAACCGGUGCUAAUACCGGAUACCCUCACAGCAUCACGUGGUGCAGUGAGGAAAUGGAUUCCGCUUCGGGAGGGGCUCGCGGCCUAUCAGCUUGUUGGUGGGGUAAUGGCCUACCAAGGCUUCGACGGGUAGCUGGUCUGAGAGGACGAUCAGCCACACUGGGACUGAGACACGGCCCAGACUCCUACGGGAGGCAGCAGUGGGGAAUCUUGCGCAAUGGGCGAAAGCCUGACGCAGCAACGCCGCGUGAGGGACGAAUGUUCUUUGAAUUGUAAACCUCUUUCAGCAGGGACGAUAAUGACGGUACCUGCAGAAGAAGCACCGGCCAACUACGUGCCAGCAGCCGCGGUGAUACGUAGGGUGCAAGCGUUGUCCGGAUUUAUUGGGCGUAAAGGGCUCGUAGGCGGUUCGACAAGUCGGGUGUGAAACCCCCAGGCUCAACCUGGGGACGCCACUCGAAACUGUCGUGACUAGAGUUUGGUAGGGGAUCACGGAAUUCCUGGUGUAGCGGUGGAAUGCGCAGAUAUCAGGAGGAACACCAGUAGCGAAGGCGGUGAUCUGGGCCAAUACUGACGCUGAGGAGCGAAAGCGUGGGGAGCAAACAGGAUUAGAUACCCUGGUAGUCCACGCCGUAAACGGUGGGCACUAGGUGUGGGAACUAUUCAACGGUUUCCGCGCCGACGCUACGCAUUAAGUGCCCCGCCUGGGGAGUACGGCCGCAAGGCUAAACUCAAGGAAUUGACGGGGGCCCGCACAAGCGGCGGAGCAUGUGGCUUAAUUCGAGGCACGCGAGAACCUUAUCUAGGUUUGACAUGUAUGGAAA